RNAcentral lists this long non-coding RNA (357 nucleotides) under Mus pahari (shrew mouse). RNAcentral's name for it is "lncRNA (MGP_PahariEiJ_G0032868.1)". Lineage: Eukaryota; Metazoa; Chordata; Mammalia; Rodentia; Muridae. The record is from RNAcentral.
GAAGAACAUGUCCUUGUUGCUGUCUUACCCUUUAAGACACGGAAGAUUAAGGGAAAAGAUGAGGCAGUAGGAGACAAGAGAGAUGCAGACUGUUGUGAGGCUACAGGUAUAGAUGGCGGAGAAGAUUCAGACCCAGGCUCACUGCAGGAGCUGGGCUCCCACAUUUGUUAUAUAGCAGCACAUGCAAAGGCAAAGUGGCGGGAAAUAAGCUGAGACAUCACCAGGAGACAUUUGAAUCCAGAAGGGAAUCAUGCCAUCAUGAAGUAAUGGACCCCUGUAGGAAAGAAUAACCAUGGUCAUCCAUAGAGUAACAACAAUCUUUCACAAAGAAUGUCUGUUAAAAACCACUACAUGCUA